GAAAAAAAGGGAAAAUCUUUGCAUAGCACUCUGAGUUAUUAAUAAAAAAUGCUUGAGUUUUUGUAUCUCUGCCCCUCGGGGUAUGAGUAAGGUCUGCCCUACUUCUGGGAUUAUACUGGGUUGUUGUUGUUGUCGGUGCUGCUGUAGUUGCUUAUUUUUUGUAUAAAACUCUGAAUUAUUGAUGCAGCUUUGCAUUACUAAUAUAGUUUUGGGUUCAACUUCAUUGUAUAUUGUAAUUCCUUCAGGGCUUGUUUGGUUUGUUGUAUGAGAAAAUAGAAAUUUGGCGUAUAUAUAGCAAAGUUGUUGCAAUCCUUUGAUGGUGGUAUCUUAGAGGGUGUUUGCGUAUAUAAACACUUUUUACCUUAUCUACCGCAUUUGGUAAAUGCUAAAGUGCUUAUAAUCGAAUCAGCCAAAAGCUUAAGUUGGCUGCUUACCAACUUAUGGCUUUUUAGCUUAUAACACUUUUGGUUUGAGUUUUGACAAAGCUUUUUACUAUUUUAUCCAAACACUCCAAUUGUUUAUUAUCAAUUUCAGCACUUUAUAAAAUCAUUUUCAGCACUUAAAUGUGUUUCUCAACACUUAAUACUUAUCAACUACUUUUAAUCAGCUAAUCCAAAUAGAUUCUUAGAGGAAGUAGUGUUAGUUUUGUCCUUUGUGUUAUGCUUCAUUAGUACAAUCAGCUAUUCUCAUUAUCACUUCACUCUUUCGUUUAUAUACUUAUACUAACUGUAUGUCUUUAGUACAGGGCUUCUUUGUUUUCUAGUCUUUGAUCCAUAUCCAGGUCAUUGACUAUGUCAGAUGAUGGAUAGUGAUUAUAUUUUAUCACUACUCUCUAGCAUGAAGAUUUUGAUAGUUAUUUUAGAAAUUUUAUUAAAUUGACUCGUAUUGUAUUUCACGAUUCAGGCAUUUCAGAUAACAAAGUAAGCACGUAAAUUGAACUUGAAAAUGCAAAUUGUGAUUUUUGUCCGGCCGCUGCUUAUUUUUCUUGAGUUUAUAUUGAGCUAUCCAGGCUUCAAUAGAUGAUGUAUUAAAUUUUAUUCAAGCAUCUUUUGAUCUCUGUCUGUAGUAGCUAACUGAAUUUUGUGAUGCAGGUUACACAUGAUACUGAUCAUCACCGCUUGCACACUUUCGCACGACCAAAUGUGUACAAUGUGAAGCAAAACAAGACAUAAUGUAGAUACUUAUCUCUCAAAAGAACUUGUAAAAGAAACUAUCUCUUUCAAAACACGGCAGCAUGAGUUCAUUUGUUUGACUUGAAGCCAUGUGUUAGUAAAAUGUUUUCCUGAAUUUGCUUCUUCAUGUUUCCCACAUUUAAUCUUUUGAUGUCCAAGAGUUUGCAUAAAAUAGAGAAUUACUUACCAAUCAAAAAAUAAAAAUAAAAGAUAAGAAAUAGAGCAAUUACACAUGCAAAGUAUGGGUAUAACCUAUAAGAAUACCUUUUUGCUGAGGAAUCCAUGUUUUGCUCGGCUUGUUGAAUGUAUUGCUUGUGCUGUUAAAUCUGCUUGACUUCUGCAUAAAGUAUGAAAUGGGCUGUCAUUUGUCAGUUUCUCCACUGGAAUAUUAAAUGAAGCUAAUCCAUUUGAAGAAUUGGCUGGCUCUGUGAUAGAGCCAAAUAAUCAAUAAUAAGAACUUCGAAGUUAAUGAUUGUUGUCCCAUAAUCUUUGUGAGAGGAUUUAGAUGACGAUCGACUUCCUAGGAUGAACUUGGAUGUUGUUUUUUGGGUGUGUGUGUGUAUAUAUAUAUAAGCAAUUGUGUGCUUAAUAUCUGAAUUCACUAAAAUCUAAAGAUAUUGCAGUUAUUCCUUUCUUUGUAUAUUUCCGAGGCUUAGCUGGGUUUGUUGUUGUUGUUGUUGUUGUUGUUAAGUUUUCCCUGAUAAGGAUGCUCGUAAUAAAAGCUAAAGUUUGAAAUUAUCUAGUUGAUUUGACAACAUUCUUCAUUUGUAUUGUCAAACAAUCAUGGUCUUGUGAGUUCUUACUUCACAAAUCCCAUAGAUAUUCUGUCCUAAAUUAAUUGGUAACUUCUUAUAGAUGAAACAUAGAGUCGCUUCUUCUUGAAAUCGCUAAGGUGUAGAUUGCUAUAUCUGUUCCAUACUUUUGAAGUUCCUCAUUUUGGAAGUAAGAAAUGUGAUGGAAUUUCUUUACAUGUGAACUUAUGUGACUAAGUGUUGAAGAUCUCCCUUCUCGCAACAUCAUUAUUUCCCUCUCUUAAUUGACAGAUGAAAGUAUUGGUAAUAUUUUCAAUGUUGUCUCUUGAGGGUUCAUUAUUGUAGUAAUUUUCUUCUCAAGGAUCAUGGGGGUAUCCACUACGUUUUCUUUAUUCUGCUUUGCCUAUCUCUAUGAACACGAAUCAAGUUCAAUGUUUCUUUCUGUUGUUUUGAUGCUUGUCUCAUGACUUAGCUAACUGGGAACUACCCUUAUACCCCUCCCUCGCCUGCUCCCUCCCUCCUCUCCUCCUGUUUUGUAUGUGGGGAUAGUGAGUGAUAAUGAUCUGGUAGGGAAGCUGAUGUGUGGCGUAUCGUGGAGCGACUAGCAUUCAUUAUUUCGC
Molecule: long non-coding RNA, 2544 nt
Filed under: Nicotiana benthamiana
Lineage: Eukaryota; Viridiplantae; Streptophyta; Magnoliopsida; Solanales; Solanaceae
Description: long non-coding RNA (NBEN_LNC018492)
Source: RNAcentral